UUCACACGUCAUACAAUGGUCGGGUACAGAAGGGUUGGCCAAGCCGCGAGGUGGAGCCAAUCCCUUAAACGCCGAUCGUAGUCCGGAUCGUAGUCUGCAACUCGACUACGUGAAGUCGGAAUCGCUAGUAAUCGCAGAUCAGCAUGCUGCGGUGAAUACGUUCCCGGGUCUU
Molecule: ribosomal RNA, 172 nt
Filed under: uncultured Thauera sp.
Lineage: Bacteria; Pseudomonadati; Pseudomonadota; Betaproteobacteria; Rhodocyclales; Zoogloeaceae
Description: partial 16S ribosomal RNA
Rfam family: Bacterial small subunit ribosomal RNA
Source: RNAcentral